UCUAAGUCCACACGGACCACACCUAAAAUAUUGUCGGACAUGCCCAAAUCCUGCUGACUUCAGCUUCCUGACUCGUUCUCAAGCCUCUCAUUCUCUUCUUUUCUCAUUUUCUUUCGCUCUCUUUUGUUAGGAAUAGCUUAUCGGGACACUCCAGACCAACAGUUGUUUGAUGCUGCUUAUAGUGGAAAUAUUGAAGGAAUGAGGAUUGCCCUCUCUAAAGGGGCAGAUAUCAAUUGGAAGAAUCCCAGUUUUGUAAGUGUAUGAUGUAGUGACUAGUGUAUUAGUAUGACUUGUAUAAUGUAAAAGUACCUGCAGUUUAGUUAUAAAUCAGUUUAUUAUAUUAAUAUUGUGUAAUUACCAUAUUUCCUCAUGGAAGCACCUA
This is a long non-coding RNA of Amphimedon queenslandica, 382 nucleotides long. RefSeq lists it as uncharacterized. The record is from RefSeq and is a predicted model, not a curated record. Lineage: Eukaryota; Metazoa; Porifera; Demospongiae; Haplosclerida; Niphatidae. The transcript has 2 exons.